Molecule: ribosomal RNA, 495 nt
Filed under: Klebsiella pneumoniae
Lineage: Bacteria; Pseudomonadati; Pseudomonadota; Gammaproteobacteria; Enterobacterales; Enterobacteriaceae
Description: partial 23S ribosomal RNA
Rfam family: Bacterial large subunit ribosomal RNA
Source: RNAcentral
CUGGAGGACCGAACCGACUAAUGUUGAAAAAUUAGCGGAUGACUUGUGGCUGGGGGUGAAAGGCCAAUCAAACCGGGAGAUAGCUGGUUCUCCCCGAAAGCUAUUUAGGUAGCGCCUCGUGAACUCAUCUUCGGGGGUAGAGCACUGUUUCGGCUAGGGGGUCAUCCCGACUUACCAACCCGAUGCAAACUACGAAUACCGAAGAAUGUUAUCACGGGAGACACACGGCGGGUGCUAACGUCCGUCGUGAAGAGGGAAACAACCCAGACCGCCAGCUAAGGUCCCAAAGUCAUGGUUAAGUGGGAAACGAUGUGGGAAGGCACAGACAGCCAGGAUGUUGGCUUAGAAGCAGCCAUCAUUUAAAGAAAGCGUAAUAGCUCACUGGUCGAGUCGGCCUGCGCGGAAGAUGUAACGGGGCUAAACCAUGCACCGAAGCUGCGGCAGCGACACUAUGUGUUGUUGGGUAGGGGAGCGUUCUGUAAGCCUGCGAAGGUG